This 1362-nucleotide ribosomal RNA is filed under the name uncultured bacterium. RNAcentral's name for it is "bacterial SSU rRNA". It matches the Rfam family "Bacterial small subunit ribosomal RNA", at positions 91 to 1455 of the family's 1533-position model. The record is from RNAcentral.
GCCGAUGGCGAGGGGUAGUACACGUAAGCAACCUACCCUAAAGACGAGGGAUAACCAUUGGGAAACAGCCCCCUUAAAGUGGAUAGGAAGAUAAAAGGCAUCUUGUAUCUUUCAAUAGACCUAGGUAAUAGGUAUGCUUUAGGAGGGGCUUGCGCCAUAUUAGUUAGUUGGUAGGGUAAUGGCCUACCAAGACGAUGAUGUGUAGCUGGACUGAGAGGUUGAACAGCCACAUUGGGACUGAGACACGGCCCAAACUCCUACGGGAGGGCAGCAGUAGGGAAUUUUCGGCAAUGGAGGAAACUCUGACCGAGCAACGCCGCGUGAAUGACGAAGUACUUCGGUAUGUAAAGUUCUUUUAUCGAGAGAAAGCAAAUGCGACCAUUUGUUGCCGGUACUUGAUGAAUAAGCCCCGGCUAAUUAUGUGCCAGCAGCCGCGGUAAGACAUAAGGGGCAAGUGUUAUCGAAUUAUUGGGCGUAAAGGGUGCGUAGGCGGUCUAGUAAGUCAGUGGUGUAAUGGCAACGCUUAACGUUGUCCGGCUAUUGAAACUGCUAAACUUGAGUUAGAUAGAGGCGAGUGGAAUUCCAUGUGUAGCGGUAAAAUGCGUAAAUAUAUGGAGGAACACCAGAGGCGUAGGCGGCUCGCUGGGUCUUAACUGACGCUGAGGCACGAAAGCGUGGGGAGCAAACAGGAUUAGAUACCCUGGUAGUCCACGCCGUAAACGAUGAGUACUAAGUGUCGGGUUAAACCGGUACUGAAGUUAACACAUUAAGUACUCCGCCUGAGUAGUACGUACGCAAGUAUGAAACUUAAAGGAAUUGACGGGACUCCGCACAAGCGGUGGAUCAUGUUGUUUAAUUCGAAGAUACCCGAAAAACCUUACCAGGUCUUGACAUGUUUUUGCAAAAUGAUAGUAAUAUCGUGGAGGUUACCAGAAACACAGGUGGUGCAUGGUUGUCGUCAGCUCGUGUCGUGAGAUGUUAGGUUAAGUCCUAAAACGAGCGAAACCCUUAUCGUUAGUUGCCAGCACGUUAUGGUGGGGACUUUAACGAGACUGCCAAUGAUAAAUUGGAGGAAGGUGAGGAUCACGUCAAAUCAGCAUGCCCCUUAUGACCUGGGCUACAAACGUGAUACAAUGGCUGUUACAAAGGGUAGCUGAAACGCAAGUUCUUGGCCAAUCCCCAAAAACAGUCCCAGUCCGGAUUGAAGUCUGCAACUCGACUUCAUGAAGUUGGAAUCGCUAGUAAUCGCGAAUCAGCAUGUCGCGGUGAAUACGUUCUCGGGGUUUGUACACACCGCCCGUCAAACCACGAAAGUUGGCAAUACCCCAAAACGGUAGCCUAACUCGUUUCGAGAGGGCGUUG